RNAcentral lists this ribosomal RNA (274 nucleotides) under uncultured bacterium. RNAcentral's name for it is "partial 16S ribosomal RNA". It matches the Rfam family "Bacterial small subunit ribosomal RNA", at positions 523 to 796 of the family's 1533-position model. The record is from RNAcentral.
AUACGGAGGGGGCAAGCGUUAUUCGGAAUUAUUGGGCGUAAAGGGCGCGUAGGCGGUCUUUUAAGUCAGUGGUGAAAUCCCUCGGCUCAACCGAGGAACUGCCUCUGAAACUGAAAGACUUGAGACCGGGAGAGGGUGGUGGAAUUCCCAGUGUAGCGGUGAAAUGCGUAGAUAUUGGGAGGAACACCAGUGGCGAAGGCGACCACCUGGACCGGUCCUGACGCUGAGGCGCGAAAGUGUGGGGAGCAAACAGGAUUAGAAACCCUAGUAGUCC